This 487-nucleotide ribosomal RNA is filed under the name uncultured bacterium. RNAcentral's name for it is "bacterial SSU rRNA". It matches the Rfam family "Bacterial small subunit ribosomal RNA", at positions 64 to 546 of the family's 1533-position model. The record is from RNAcentral.
GAACGGAACACCCUUGAAGGAGUUUUCGGACAACUGAGAGGACUGUUUAGUGGCGGACGGGUGAGUAACGCGUGAGUAACCUGCCUUGGAGUGGGGAAUAACACAAAGAAAUUUGUGCUAAUACCGCAUAAUGCAGCUGAGUCGCAUGGCUCUGGCUGCCAAAGAUUUAUCGCUCUGAGAUGGACUCGCGUCUGAUUAGCUAGUUGGCGGGGUAACGGCCCACCAAGGCGACGAUCAGUAGCCGGACUGAGAGGUUGGCCCGGCCACAUUGGGACUGAGACACGGCCCAGACUCCUACGGGAGGCAGCAGUGGGGAAUAUUGGGCAAUGGGCGCAAGCCUGACCCAGCAACGCCGCGUGAAGGAAGAAGGCUUUCGGGUUGUAAACUUCUUUUCUCAGGGACGAAGCAAGUGACGGUACCUGAGGAAUAAGCCACGGCUAACUACGUGCCAGCAGCCGCGGUAAUACGUAGGUGGCAAGCGUUAUCC